This 466-nucleotide ribosomal RNA is filed under the name uncultured bacterium. RNAcentral's name for it is "partial 16S ribosomal RNA". It matches the Rfam family "Bacterial small subunit ribosomal RNA", at positions 28 to 507 of the family's 1533-position model. The record is from RNAcentral.
GACGAACGCUGGCGGCGUGCUUAACACAUGCAAGUCGAACGGAAAGGCCCUGCUUGCAGGGUACUCGAGUGGCGAACGGGUGAGUAACACGUGGGUGAUCUGCCCUGCACUUCGGGAUAAGCUUGGGAAACUGGGUCUAAUACCGGAUAGGAGCCAUCUUUAGUGUGGUGGUUGGAAAGUUUUUUCGGUGUAGGAUGAGCUCGCGGCCUAUCAGCUUGUUGGUGGGGUAAUGGCCUACCAAGGCGGCGACGGGUAGCCGGCCUGAGAGGGUGUACGGCCACAUUGGGACUGAGAGACGGCCCAGACUCCGACGGGAGGCAGCAGUGGGGAAUAUUGCACAAUGGGCGCAAGCCUGAUGCAGCGAGGCCGCGUGGGGGAUGAAGGCCUUCGGGUUGUAAACUCCUUUCGCUAGGGACGAAGCUUUUUUGUGACGGUACCUAGAUAAGAAGCACCGGCUAACUACGUG